AGUGAACGCUGGCGGCAGGCCUAAUACAUGCAAGUCGAACGGCAGCACAGUAAGAGUUUGCCUUUACGGGUGGCGACUGGCGGACGGGUGACGCAUACAUCGGCAUCUUCUUUUUCGUGGGGGACUACGUAGGGCAACUUACGCUAAUACCGCAUAUGACCUACGGCAGGAUUCAGUGGUUCAUCGCACUUUGCCUGUCUCUUUGAGAUGAUGCCGGAUUAGCUAGUUGGCGGGGUAAAGGCACACCAAGGCGACGAUGCGUAGCUGAUCUGAGAGGAUGAUCAGCCACACUGGAACUGAGACACGGUCCAGACUCCUACGGGAGGCAGCAGUGGGGAAUAUUGCGCAAUGGGCGCAAGCCUGACGCAGCCAUGCCGCGUGAGUGAUGAAGGUCUUCGGGUUGUAAAACCCUGUUGUUAGGAAAGAAAAGCUGCGGAAUAAACCCCCCCUGUUCUGACGGUACCCAAAGAAUAAGCACCGGCUAACUUCGUG
This 492-nucleotide ribosomal RNA is filed under the name uncultured bacterium. RNAcentral's name for it is "partial 16S ribosomal RNA". It matches the Rfam family "Bacterial small subunit ribosomal RNA", at positions 29 to 507 of the family's 1533-position model. The record is from RNAcentral.